UCCGUGUAACGUAUUACAAACUGUCACUGAAAAUCGUUCCGUUUCACAUAGCCUUAAUGAGAAUUACAGAGAGGAUUAAACAAUGCAUAUACGUACCGUAUUUGCUCUGAUCCAGGCUUGUGCAGCGGGGAUAUCACUGAACGAUACAGCUCCGCCACCAAGAACUUUAAUAAGGAUGUUAAUCAGUGCUAAGCAGUCCGGAGUUUCACCAAUGUCCAGCCAGAUAACCUGACGAGAAUCUGAGGCAGCCCAAGCAACAGCCAGGGCUAAGACGGUCUUACCGAGGCCCCCCAUACCACGAAUACCAAAAACAUCGCCACUACGAACCCCGACCACACAAACUCUAUUAUUUCCCUGCAUAAGUAAUCCCAAUAUCUUGCCCACUUCUGAUGGUCGUUGCACCAUAUCACGAGGUAGAUUGCGUAGUCCAUACGGAACU
Molecule: non-coding RNA, 439 nt
Organism: Paramuricea clavata
Lineage: Eukaryota; Metazoa; Cnidaria; Anthozoa; Malacalcyonacea; Plexauridae
Source: the annotation of a GenBank genome assembly